RNAcentral lists this ribosomal RNA (487 nucleotides) under uncultured Glomus. RNAcentral describes it as "SSU rRNA". It matches the Rfam family "Eukaryotic small subunit ribosomal RNA", at positions 569 to 1061 of the family's 1831-position model. Lineage: Eukaryota; Fungi; Glomeromycota; Glomeromycetes; Glomerales; Glomeraceae. The record is from RNAcentral.
AGCAGCCGCGGUAAUUCCAGCUCCAAUAGCGUAUAUUAAAGUUGUUGCAGUUAAAAGGCCCGUAGUUGAAUUUCGGGAUCAAUUUGCUGGUCGUGCCUCUGGUACGUACUGGUAUUAUUGGUUUCUCCCUUCUGACGAACCAUGAUGUCAUUAAUUUGAUGUCGUGGAGAAUCAGGACUGUUACUUUGAAAAAUUAGAGUGUUUAAAGCAGGCAUUAGCUUGAAUACAUUAGCAUGGAAUAAUGAAAUAGGACGUUUGAUCCUAUUUUGUUGGUUUCUAGGAUUGACGUAAUGAUUAAUAGGGAUAGUUGGGGGCAUUAGUAUUCAAUUGCCAGAGGUGAAAUUCUUGGAUUUAUUGAAGACUAACUACUGCGAAAGCAUUUGCCAAGGAUGUUUUCAUUAAUCAAGAACGAAAGUUAGGGGAUCGAAGACGAUCAGAUACCGUCGUAGUCUUAACCAUAAACGAUGCCGACCAGGGAUCGGAAGCU